Long non-coding RNA from Sapajus apella (tufted capuchin), 1551 nucleotides. RefSeq lists it as uncharacterized. Lineage: Eukaryota; Metazoa; Chordata; Mammalia; Primates; Cebidae. The transcript is spliced from 2 exons. The record is from RefSeq and is a predicted model, not a curated record.
UUUUCUGUGGGAAGAAAAGAGAAAGUGCUGAGUCGAGGCUGCCCUCCCUCCUGAGGGCCCCCCACGGGGAGUGGGCGCUGCACUGACCAGCCUGUCACCAAAGCAGGCCUCUAGCUACCAACAGACAGCAGACACAGGGCUGUUCCGAUGAGGUAAUGAUGGAUGGCCCCAGGACCGGGAGGUGACAAAGGAGGACAGGAAGAAUGAGUCAAGGUGAGAAGGAAGAAGGGGUGAGAGAGUAUGAUGGAAAAGCAGGGAAGUGGGAUUCCCACAGAUGUGUGUGUGCACGUGUGUGUGUGUGUGUGUGUGUGUGUACGAUGCAAACGUCCCAUCUCACACCCCCUUCCAGCAACUGCUGUAACCUGGCUCCAUUACGACUUCCCUCCCUGUGACCCAAGGAACAGACUUGAAUCCCCUCCCAGAGGUCCUUCUUCCCCAUAACCUGGCCACGUCUGCUCCACGUGACAUCCUCUCUACAAGCCUGCCUUGAUUUCCACUCACUCUCACCACAAACCCAAUUUUGUGCUCCUGUGUUUUUUCAAUUAUUACACUCAGUGCAUUGACUUGCCAUGACGUUUUUAUGCUUUCGUCUAGACCAAGAGCUUCUUAAAGGCAGAGACCUUGUCUUAUUCAACCUUGGGUUCCUAGCAGUUCCCCAGCAAUAAGUGUCUACUGAAUGAAGUAAGUAAACUCACUACUGACUCCCCAGCUCUGAAGGACCCACACCUCUGGGUUCAAGUUCCCAAGUUCUUUGCAGAUGUAAUCAAACGAGAAUGAGGUCAUCAGGGUGGGCCCUGAUCCAGUAUAACUGGUGUCCUUGUAAGACGGGAAAUUGGACACGGAGACAGACACGCACAGAGGGGAGACUGUGUGAAGAGACACAGGGACACGUGUGUGAAGACUGAAGCUGUGCUGCACGAGCCGAUGAAUGUCUGCGGCUACCAGAAGCUGAAAGAGGCACGGGAAGAUUCUUCUGCAGGUUUCAGAGGGAGCAAGGCCCUGCCAACACCUUGGUUUUAGAUUUCUAGCCUCAAACCGUGAGAUAACACCUUGUUAUCUUCUUGUCAUUUCUGUUGUUCUAAGCCACCCCCAGGUUUUGGUACUUUGUUACAGUAGCCCUGGGCAACUAAUACAAACUCCAAUCUUAUUUUUCUGAAAUUGAUAAAAAUUUUUCUUUAAAAAGUAGAUAAAGUAGAGAGAUGAAAUCUCACUGUAUUGCCCUGGUUGGUCUUGAACUCCUGGGUUCAAGCGGUCCUCCCACUUCGACCUUCCAAACUGCUGGGAUCACAGGGGUGAGCCACCAUACCCAGCCUGAAAUUGGUUUUUAAAAUCCAAACAUCAUCCUUUACACUUAACCUUGAUUUCUUAUUUUGGAGCAUAUUUCUAGCCUGUCAAGAGCACCAUGAUUCUGCAACGUACCUCUGAAUUUCAGUGUGUUUACCUAGGAAGUAGAGAUAACAAACACGCCUAGCUUUCUGAGGGUUAUAGGUAAAGUCUAAAAUACAAUGCAAAUGCUAUUCUAAUUCUAUCAUCCAUCUUAUCUACUCUAUC